AAGUGGUACGCGAGCUGGGUUUAGAACGUCGUGAGACAGUUCGGUCCCUAUCUGCCGUGGGCGCUGGAGAAUUGAGGGGGGCUGCUCCUAGUACGAGAGGACCGGAGUGGACGCAUCACUGGUGUUCGGGUUGUCAUGCCAAUGGCACUGCCCGGUAGCUAAAUGCGGAAGAGAUAAGUGCUGAAAGCAUCUAAGCACGAAACUUGCCCCGAGAUGAGUUCUCCCUGAGACUUUAAGUCUCCUGAAGGAACGUUGAAGACGACGACGUUGAUAGGCCGGGUGUGUAAGCGCAGCGAUGCGUUGAGCUAACCGGUACUAAUGAACCGUGAGGCUUAACCUUACAACGCCGAAG
RNAcentral lists this ribosomal RNA (352 nucleotides) under Klebsiella pneumoniae. RNAcentral's name for it is "partial 23S ribosomal RNA". It matches the Rfam family "Bacterial large subunit ribosomal RNA", at positions 2591 to 2925 of the family's 2925-position model. The record is from RNAcentral. Lineage: Bacteria; Pseudomonadati; Pseudomonadota; Gammaproteobacteria; Enterobacterales; Enterobacteriaceae.